UUCAAGUUAGUUAAAGUAUAAUACUAUCUUUGGAAGUUAGAGUUGGAUAAUUCACUUGAAA
Molecule: transfer RNA, 61 nt
Filed under: Tigriopus japonicus
Lineage: Eukaryota; Metazoa; Arthropoda; Copepoda; Harpacticoida; Harpacticidae
Description: tRNA-Pro
Source: RNAcentral